ACCAACUUCUCAGAGGGUGAUGUCACCCAUUUCAUCUGCCAGGCUGCUGUGCCCAAGGUUUGUAAAGAUCAGAGUUCAGAGGUGGCCUGGGGACUCCAGGAGAAAAGGCCACUAAGUGGAGGAGGUGGGUGGGAGACAGUGUGAGAUGGGAUUGAGUCAUCUGGAGAUCAGCACUUGGGGAGUUACAGGAAAAGGGUGUGGAGCCACUGAGUAUAGAGGGGCUGCCUGAGCCCUACCUACUGCCAUACUGUGCUCUGUUAAACUCCUGUGUUCAGAGUCUCCAGCUGCAGCUGCAGGCCCCCAGUGGGAACACAGUUCCAGCUCGGGGUGGCCUUCCUAUCACCCAGCUCUUCAGAAUCCUCAAUCCUAACAAGGCCCCCCUGCGGCUAAAGCUGCGCCUCACCUACGACCACUUUCACCAGUCGGUGCAGGAGAUCUUUGAGGUGAACAACUUGCCUGUGGAAUCGUGGCAGUAACUGUCUCCACUCACAGCCUGAAAUUCUCCUGUGUCCCAAACCCCAGGGGGCCCCAGCAGCUUCGAACCUACACCUGAGGGCUACCAGCAGGUGGCGCUCUGGCUUUGCACUGCAAAAACUGGGGACCAGCCCCCUUCUCCCACAAAUAAAGCCCAAUAAAGCCUGAGAAGUGAGGAAAGCCA
This 658-nucleotide long non-coding RNA is filed under the name Homo sapiens (human). RNAcentral describes it as "non-protein coding lnc-JPH4-1:18". The record is from RNAcentral. Lineage: Eukaryota; Metazoa; Chordata; Mammalia; Primates; Hominidae.